This 507-nucleotide ribosomal RNA is filed under the name uncultured bacterium. RNAcentral's name for it is "bacterial SSU rRNA". It matches the Rfam family "Bacterial small subunit ribosomal RNA", at positions 29 to 507 of the family's 1533-position model. The record is from RNAcentral.
AACUAACGCUGGCGGCGCGCUUAACACAUGCAAGUCGAGCGAGAACGCGAACCUUCGGGUUUGCUAGUACAGCGGCGCACGGGUGAGUAACGCGUGAGUAACCCAUCCCCGAGACGGGAAUAACAUCGCGAAAGCGGUGCUAAUACCGGAUAAGACCAAAGGUUUUUCGGAACCAUUGGUAAAAGUUUGCCUCUUUAUAAAAGCUGACGCUUGGGGACGGGCUCGCGUCCCAUUAGCUAGUUGGUGAGGUAACGGCUCACCAAGGCUACGAUGGGUAGCCGGCCUGAGAGGGUGACCGGCCACACUGGAACUGAGACACGGUCCAGACUCCUACGGGAGGCAGCAGUGAGGAAUCUUGCGCAAUGGGCGAAAGCCUGACGCAGCGACGCCGCGUGGAGGACGAAGGCCUUCGGGUCGUAAACUCCUGUCGAGUGGGACGAAUCCUGGGUGGAUGAAUAAGCCGCCUAGUUGACGGUACCACUGGAGGAAGCCCCGGCUAACUCCGUG